CACGUAGUUAGCCGUGGCUUUCUGGUUAGGUACCGUCAAGGUACGAGCAGUUACUCUCGUACUUGUUCUUCCCUAACAACAGAGUUUUACGACCCGAAAGCCUUCAUCACUCACGCGGCGUUGCUCCGUCAGACUUUCGUCCAUUGCGGAAGAUUCCCUA
This 160-nucleotide ribosomal RNA is filed under the name uncultured bacterium. RNAcentral's name for it is "partial 16S ribosomal RNA". The record is from RNAcentral.